CCACAUGUGUGCUGCUGAGAAGGAUGUACAGGGGCACCUGCAGCCAAAUCCAAGCCGCCUCAGAGCAGAGCGGCAGUUUGUGCUCACAGAUGGUGACGGUGUGGAGAGACGGUGGUGUUUCCUCAGAAGAACUAGCAGAGUCACAAAGGGCACGAGUCCAUCUCACCACCUUGACUUGCUGACUGAUGCUCGUCUGCACUGCACAGAGGAAAUCAACUGACCGAGGAGUGUUUCUGGGUGAGGGAGAGAGGAGUCAUCAUCCAGGUAAAGUGACGUGGAUCAGUGGACACACUUGUCUCCACUUUAAAGGAGACGAUCCGAGUCAUCCCUAAAUAUGGGCAGGAUAUCAGUCUUGGACUGUCUGACCUGCAGGAGCAGCACUGAAUGAUCACCACACAUGAUCAGUUUUGCUUUGGU
Long non-coding RNA from Oreochromis niloticus (Nile tilapia), 417 nucleotides. RefSeq lists it as uncharacterized. The transcript is spliced from 4 exons. The record is from RefSeq and is a predicted model, not a curated record. Lineage: Eukaryota; Metazoa; Chordata; Actinopteri; Cichliformes; Cichlidae.